UACAAGUGAAUAUGUUUAUAUUGUGACUUAUUAGUCAAGUAAAGAAAUUAAUGCAUUUCUCAAUUGAUUAUUGGGCAUCAGGUGAUCAUUUUAAGCUGAAUUCAGAAUCAUUCAGCCAUAGAGGAAAGUGUUUCUUUAACUCAACAUCUCUUUAUGAUCAGCCUCCUGU
Long non-coding RNA from Telopea speciosissima, 169 nucleotides. RefSeq lists it as uncharacterized. NCBI's taxonomy places the organism in Eukaryota, Viridiplantae, Streptophyta, Magnoliopsida, Proteales, Proteaceae. The record is from RefSeq and is a predicted model, not a curated record. The transcript is spliced from 3 exons.